GAUGAAGAACGUAGCGAAAUGCGAUAAGUAAUGUGAAUUGCAGAAUUCAGUGAAUCAUCGAAUCUUUGAACGCACCUUGCGCUCCUUGGUAUUCCGAGGAGCAUGCCUGUUUGAGUGUCAUUAAUAUAUCAACCUUCACUUGUUGAAUGGUUUGGAUGUGGGGGUUUGCUGGUCUCUUAAAGGGUUCAGCUCCUCUAAAAUGCAUUAGCAGAACAAUCUGUUCAUUGGUGUGAUAACUAUCUACGCUCUUGAAUAAGAUGCAGUUCAGCUUUCUAACUGUCCUUGGACAAUUUAUCAUUUAUGUGACCUCAAAUCAGGUAGGACUACCCGCUGAACUUAAGCACAUCAAUAAGCGGAGGA
Molecule: unclassified non-coding RNA, 360 nt
Filed under: soil metagenome
Description: partial contains 5.8S ribosomal RNA, internal transcribed spacer 2, and large subunit ribosomal RNA
Rfam family: 5.8S ribosomal RNA (bases 1-120)
Source: RNAcentral